Molecule: non-coding RNA, 125 nt
Organism: Triticum aestivum (bread wheat)
Lineage: Eukaryota; Viridiplantae; Streptophyta; Magnoliopsida; Poales; Poaceae
Source: Rfam
AAGAUACCCCCUCUCUCAGAAAAUACUUGUCGGCGAAAUGGAAGUAUCUAGACAUAUUUUAGUUCUAGAUACAUUCAUUUUUAUCCAUUUCUUCAACAAGUAUUUCCUGACGGACAGAGUAUGUU